Molecule: ribosomal RNA, 468 nt
Filed under: uncultured bacterium
Lineage: Bacteria
Description: partial 16S ribosomal RNA
Rfam family: Bacterial small subunit ribosomal RNA
Source: RNAcentral
GACGAACGCUGGCGGCGUGCUUAACACAUGCAAGUCGAACGGAAAGGCCCUGCUUUUGUGGGGUGCUCGAGUGGCGAACGGGUGAGUAACACGUGAGUAACCUGCCCUUGACUUUGGGAUAACUUCAGGAAACUGGGGCUAAUACCGGAUAGGAGCUCCUGCUGCAUGGUGGGGGUUGGAAAGUUUCGGCGGUUGGGGAUGGACUCGCGGCUUAUCAGCUUGUUGGUGGGGUAGUGGCUUACCAAGGCUUUGACGGGUAGCCGGCCUGAGAGGGUGACCGGCCACAUUGGGACUGAGAUACGGCCCAGACUCCUACGGGAGGCAGCAGUGGGGAAUAUUGCACAAUGGGCGGAAGCCUGAUGCGGCAACGCCGCGUGCGGAAUGACGGCCUUCGGGUUGUAAACCGCUUUCGCCUGUGACGAAGCGUGAGUGACGGUAAUGGGUAAAGAAGCACCGGCUAACUACGUG